UACGUAGGUGGCAAGCGUUGUCCGGAAUUAUUGGGCGUAAAGCGCGCGCAGGUGGUUCCUUAAGUCUGAUGUGAAAGCCCCCGGCUCAACCGGGGAGGGUCAUUGGAAACUGGGGAACUUGAGUGCAGAAGAGGAUAGUGGAAUUCCAAGUGUAGCGGUGAAAUGCGUAGAGAUUUGGAGGAACACCAGUGGCGAAGGCGACUGUCUGGUCGGUAACUGACACUGAGGCGCGAAAGCGUGGGGAGCAAACAGG
Molecule: ribosomal RNA, 253 nt
Filed under: uncultured bacterium
Lineage: Bacteria
Description: partial 16S ribosomal RNA
Rfam family: Bacterial small subunit ribosomal RNA
Source: RNAcentral